UACGGAGGGUGCAAGCGUUAUCCGGAAUCAUUGGGUUUAAAGGGUCCGCAGGCGGUCUUAUAAGUCAGUGGUGAAAGCCUACAGCUCAACUGUAGAACUGCCAUUGAUACUGUAAGACUUGAAUUCGAUCGAAGUGGGCGGAAUAUGACAUGUAGCGGUGAAAUGCUUAGAUAUGUCAUAGAACACCGAUAGCGAAGGCAGCUCACUAGGUCUGGAUUGACG
Molecule: ribosomal RNA, 222 nt
Filed under: uncultured bacterium
Lineage: Bacteria
Description: partial 16S ribosomal RNA
Rfam family: Bacterial small subunit ribosomal RNA
Source: RNAcentral